GACCUCGAAUCAGGUAGGAAUACCCGCUGAACUUAAGCAU
Molecule: ribosomal RNA, 40 nt
Filed under: Fusarium solani
Lineage: Eukaryota; Fungi; Ascomycota; Sordariomycetes; Hypocreales; Nectriaceae
Description: partial 28S ribosomal RNA
Source: RNAcentral